RNAcentral lists this RNase P RNA (395 nucleotides) under Capsulimonadaceae bacterium. Its description in RNAcentral is "RNase P RNA component class A". It matches the Rfam family "Bacterial RNase P class A". Rfam says of the family: Ribonuclease P (RNase P) is a ubiquitous endoribonuclease, found in archaea, bacteria and eukarya as well as chloroplasts and mitochondria. Its best characterised activity is the generation of mature 5'-ends of tRNAs by cleaving the 5'-leader elements of precursor-tRNAs. The record is from RNAcentral. Lineage: Bacteria; Bacillati; Armatimonadota; Armatimonadia; Capsulimonadales; Capsulimonadaceae.
AAAGUUCGACGGGUGGCCGCUGCCACGCCCGCUUCGGCGGCGCGCGGGAGAGGAAAGUCCGGGCUCCACAGGGCAACGAUGCCGGCUAACGGCCGGGCGGGGCAACCCGACGGAAAGUGCCACAGAAACAUACCGCCCGGCGCAUGCGCCGGGUAAGGGCGAAAUGGUGCGGUAAGAGCGCACCGGGCGUCUGGAGACAGACGCGCCGGGUAAACCCCAUCGGGAGCAAGGCGAACAGGGCGCGGGUUUAAGCGGCCCGCUUAGCGAACGACGCUGCCGGCAACGGCCACGGCGUUCCUCCGUGCCUGGACAAGCCGCUGGAGGGCGCCGGCAACGGCGCUCCUAGAGAGAUGGCCAUACAAACACAGAACCCGGCUUACAGGCGGGCUUUUCCC